RNAcentral lists this ribosomal RNA (404 nucleotides) under uncultured bacterium. RNAcentral describes it as "bacterial SSU rRNA". It matches the Rfam family "Bacterial small subunit ribosomal RNA", at positions 355 to 776 of the family's 1533-position model. The record is from RNAcentral.
UGGGGAAUCUUGCACAAUGGGGGAAACCCUGAUGCAGCGACGCCUCGUGAACGAUGAAGCCCUUCGGGGUGUAAAGUUCUUUCGACGGGAACGAUAAUGACGGUACCCGGAGAAGAAGCUGCGGCUAACUACGUGCCAGCAGCCGCGGUAAUACGUAGGCAGCGAGCGUUGUUCGGAAUUACUGGGCGUAAAGCGUGCGCAGGCGGUUCUAUAAGACAGAUGUGAAAUCCCCGGGCUUAACCUGGGAACUGCGUUUGUGACUGUAGGACUUGAGUGUGGCAGAGGGGGGUGGAAUUCCACGUGUAGCAGUGAAAUGCGUAGAGAUGUGGAGGAAUACCAAUGGCGAAGGCAGCCCCCUGGGAUAAUAUUGACGCUCAUGCACGAAAGCGUGGGGAGCAAACAGG